Molecule: unclassified non-coding RNA, 4148 nt
Filed under: Hevea brasiliensis (rubber tree)
Lineage: Eukaryota; Viridiplantae; Streptophyta; Magnoliopsida; Malpighiales; Euphorbiaceae
Source: RNAcentral
UGCGAAAUUCAAAUAACAUUACCCUACUUAAAAAUGGGUAAAACCAUUCACUGUAACUUUAUGUCUGUUGUCCUCUGCACAAUGGCAGAAAAAGGGAAGAAAAAGGACUAUAGUAUGUGGUCCCAUUGCCCAUAAUCUUACAAUAUAACAAGGACAAGAAAGAACAAAUAAAAAUCUUACAAUAUCUCUAUUGGCCAUAGAGACACAAAUAUAAACAAUGUGUUGAACUAAAUGAGAACUCUUACUAAUUUACUGCUGCUGCAGCCAUUCCUGGAUUGCUGAUCGAAGGGCAUGGUUGGGCACCAGAUUGCUGUGUGCAAGCUGAAGGUUGGUCAUGGGCGAAGUUUCGUGUCCACUGUCCAGCCAUCCUCUUAAAGCCUCUGCUUCAUAAGUAUAACCAUCAGCUGCUACAUGGGGAUCUCGCAUAACUUCCUGGAAAAUUGGGCAUAUAAAAUAUGGAGGAGGUUGGCAAUGCUCUUCUGAACCAAGCCGGAAACAUGAUGAGCCUCCACAUGAAGCUUUCAUUGGUUCAAGUACCCUCCAUACUUCUGAUGCAAGAUCUGGCCGGCUCUUUCGAUUCAUUUCACAACAUCUCAGCGCCAAGUGGGCCAACUGUUCUGCCUGCACAAAUGGCCAAUCUCCGGCCAAAGGAUCCAAGAGGAUUUUCAAGUUUCCUUUAUCUAAUGCAUACUGCACCUCCUUUGUUAUCCCCAAGGCUGGUCUUCCAGUCAACAGCCUUAGCAAUAUAAUCCCAAAUGAAUAAACAUCUGACUUUGGACUAAGCUCCCCCAAGGAAAGAAACUCAGGAUCCAUGUAUGCAAAAGUGCCUUUUGGGUCAGUUCUGCAACAUAUUGUUGCGUUGAUGCUUGCACCUUCAUUUUGAGAAAGUAGACGACAGAUUCCGAAAUCGCUUAGUUUACUCACAAAAUUGGCAUCAAGAAGGAUAUUAGCAGGUUUUAGAUCGCCAUGCACUAUGCUGUGUGGUUUACUAGAGUGAAGAAAGAUAAGGACAGAGCAUAACUCAGUAGCGAUGCGUAUUCGAGUUUGCCAAGACAAAGGAGGAGAAUUACCCCUGCAGCACAGUCGGUCUUCAAGGCUUCCAUUGGGAAGAUACUCGUAGAUAAGAGUCCAUGCUUCUGGACAAGCGCCAAUGAGAGUAACAAGAUUCGGAUGCCUCAUGUUGCUCAAAACAUCAACCUGAUAUACGGCCAAAAGACAUCAUGCAGUACCAAAAAUAAAUAUUAAAUUCCAGCCUUCUAAAUAGCAGAUGUGAUUAUUUUCCCUUCUUUGGUAAACAGGCCACCAUAAAAGAACAUGAGUGUACUAUUUAACUUCUUAAUGUUCAAAUGUUACUUAGCCUGUCAUAAUUGCCAUUCCAAAUCCUAUCGAUGUUGGGCAUACAUAACUGGCUAGCACCAUAUUGUUAUACUAAUGUUUAAUCUAACAAGCAAUGCAAAAUAUAUUCACAAACUUAAAAAAAGCACCCAUGCCAAAUUACACAAAACAAGUAGUAAGAACUAAGAAGACAUACCAACUGCACUCAAGUGCUUUUUGACAAGACAGUUUAGCAAUUGCUUAACAGCAGAAGACAAAGUUACAAACUCCAAUAAAAAAAUAUACCUAGCUGAAAUACACCAUAUUAGGAACCUAAUUGGAACAAAUUAUUUUAUAUGAAAACCAAAUUUCUAAUAAUAAUAUUCUUGGUAAUUUAGAUUUUCAACUCAUGCUUAAUGGAAAUUUCAUGCCAGAAAAUGCUGUAUAAAUGAAAAAUUAAAGAGAAUUAAUUAUACCUCCUGCUGAAAUUCUGCAGGUCCUUGCAAACUAUUAGAGUGCAGCACCUUUAUAGCCACUUGGGUGUGACGCAAGAAGCCUUUAUAAAUACUACCAUAUCCCCCUUCCCCAAUUUUGAGAUCUUGAUUAAAGUUCUGAGUUGCUUCUUCAAUCUCAGAGAAACAGAAAUCAGAGAAGAACUGUGGCAUGCUCGAACUUGAGGCCUCAGUUCGGCUCUUCCUCAGCUCCUCUGCUUCUUUGAGUGCAUUAUCACGCUCCAUCAGCAAUUCAUCUCGUUCAUUUUUGUAAUUUUGCAACAGUUCCACAGCAGAGAUGAUUUUUUGUUCCAACUCCUUUACCAUCUGAUCAUUAUCUGCAAUUUGUCUCUCCAGCGAUUUUUUUUGAUCCAGGGCAAUAUGAAGUUCUUCCAUGACUUCAUCCCUCUCCUUCUUGCUCUUUUCAAGCUCUUCCUUUUCUUUUGCCAAUGCUUCCUCAAUUUCUUUCCUUUGUCUUGACUCCUCAGCAUACAAGCCCUCAGAUGCUUUGGCCCUGCGUAUAGCCUCCCUGGCAUCUCUUUCAGCUUUUGCACGCCUUACUGUCUCUUCAAAUGCUUCUCUCCUUGAAUUUUCAGCCUCUGACAUUGCUUGUUCAAGUUGAUCAUAGAGAGGAUCAUCUAUAUUUCCGUCCUGCUAGAAUCCGUCAAAUAUUAAGCACUUUGAAAAUAAUAAAUGCAAUCAUCAGAUUACCACAAUAACUUAAAUGUUAAAAGUGCAAAAUAGAAAGUUUGAAGGAAUCUUAUUUAUCCCCAACACAAACUUAGAAAAUUGUAACAUGGAUAUCAAAUAAUAAUUUAUACCAGCACACUGGAAGGAGUUGAGUGGUGAGGAUCCUCUUUAAGUUGAGCCGGUGUGCUUAACUCUGAUCCAUUCUCACUCCCUUCCGUUCUAUCAAGUGGAACCAAACCAACAUUGACCAUUCCACUGGAAGGAUAUGUUGACAGAAGGGAGCCCUGAGAAGUACUCCUUGACAACGCAUCACAGUCAUCAGAUGAAGCAGAUGAAACAGAUGAAGCUCCUUCUGCAUCUGACCUGUUCUGUGAAGUUGAUGGCCCUCCAAUGUUAUCUAGGGAAGCAGGAGUUAGAGAUUUACCUCCCUGGUGGCCAAAAGUAACAGAACGUGCCCUGCGGAAUAAAUCUUGAGCUGGAUUGGUGAGUCUUGGGUAACUUUUCUGACCUAGAGUAAUAGACUGUGACCUCAAAUGAUUUGAUUGUCCAAUUUCAGUGUUUGGGCUUGCUUGCUGUAAGGACGGUCUGAGCUCUGUACCAUUUGCAUCCAAAGCACCUUCCUUUGUGUAUAUAAGGUGCUGCUUGCAAAUAAACCAUAUGUGACAAGAAGCAGGUGCUUGUAGGCGCACAGAGAUGGCCUUCUUAGACUUGAUGUCCAUCAUAUUCCUUGAAAAUCGCUUGUCUGCCGCUGCCCCCAUAGCAAGCUUCCUGAUACCAUGCCCAGAAAUAAGUUGCAAAAUUCCCUUCUCAAUACUUUCCAUUUCAAUAUAAAGUUUCUCAGCCUGGACCCCCAUUCGCCGACAAAAAAGAAGGUAUUCGUCCAGUGUUUUAUGCAUGUCUUGCCUUUCAAUUUCGCGGAAAGCCCUGACUUCCUGAUCUUUAAGUGAGCUUGCGUGAAAUUUUGUACCCAUCAACGGAAUCAUCUGAGCGGGUUCGUGAACAUGAAUGAUGCAAAUCUUCCUCCCUCCUGAGUUCUGUAAUGCCCAUGUAAGAAGUGAUUUGUUUUCCUUAAAACUUUUUCCCACUGCAACGUAUAUCUUCUCUUCAAGUACCCGUGCCACCGGCUCCUCCACUAUCUCCCUGGCGGCUGCCAUGCUUCCUGGAACUAUAUAUUCAGGAAAGUUUAUCGGAGUCAUCUGUUGGGUAAUUGCAGGAGCAGGACUCACCACAGCCAUGAUAAUUACAGUAAUUAAACACCUCAAUCAUCAAAACUCACCUAAAUUCUAUUAUUUUCACUCUAUUGGAGACUCUCCAAUGUUCAAAGACUUCAAAUAAUUAACUUAUCUUUCUCAUCAACCUCAAGUCCUUCCCUCUCCAAAACUCUCUCUCUUACUCAAAAAUCCUCCUUGAAUCAAACCUGAAAAUAUCGGAAAAAGGCAAUAGAUAAAGCUCAAGAGAAAUGGAAAUGGAAAAAAAGUGGCUUUUCUGUGUUGGGAGUUUGGAAGCCUACGUAGCUGUGAUUAGGCUUGAAAAGAGGUUGCUUGUCUUAAGCUAUGGGGGCUACAGUGCUUAACCAAACAGGGACUGCAAAUAACAAUAAACAAUUCCCCAGCUCUCCUAUGGCUUCUUCACUUUGGUCUUUCUAUAAUUCUU